UACGUAGGUGGCGAGCGUUGUCCGGAUUUACUGGGCGUAAAGAGCGCGCAGGCGGUCGUUCAAGUCGCGUGUGAAAGCCCCCGGCUCAACUGGGGAGGGUCACGCGAUACUGAUCGACUCGAAGGCAGGAGAGGGUAGUGGAAUUCCCGGUGUAGUGGUGAAAUGCGUAGAUAUCGGGAGGAACACCAGUGGCGAAGGUGACUACCUGGCCUGUUCUUGACGCUGAGGCGCGAAAGCUAGGGGAGCAAACGGG
Molecule: ribosomal RNA, 253 nt
Filed under: uncultured bacterium
Lineage: Bacteria
Description: partial 16S ribosomal RNA
Rfam family: Bacterial small subunit ribosomal RNA
Source: RNAcentral